Long non-coding RNA from Micropterus salmoides (largemouth bass), 373 nucleotides. RefSeq lists it as uncharacterized. Lineage: Eukaryota; Metazoa; Chordata; Actinopteri; Centrarchiformes; Centrarchidae. The record is from RefSeq and is a predicted model, not a curated record. The transcript has 3 exons.
AAAGACAUGUGACUGGGGCCUGCACGGGACAGGACAAGACACAAGUCCACAAGUUAACAUGCAGAAUUACUUAAUGGAGCUUAACAUGAGCAGGUGGAGGGGUCGAAUCAGAGCGAGUUUUCUAGAUCAGGAAAACAGGUGUGGAGAGUGCAGGCUGGAGCUACACUGCAGGAUGUUCCUUUGUCAACCAUGAAAGAGUCCUCCAUUUAAGAAAGGAUAGUUUCAUGAAGACUCGUUUGGGCCGCGGGCUGUCUGGACUUCCUGAAUAAGGAAAGAGGAGCCCACUGGACACCAACAUGAACGUGACAAUGAAGACUGAGCCCAGACCAGCCAGGAUCCACUUAGUGCUCCGUGCCAAGUAGAUGAAAUGCAG